RNAcentral lists this ribosomal RNA (1570 nucleotides) under metagenome. RNAcentral describes it as "bacterial LSU rRNA". It matches the Rfam family "Bacterial large subunit ribosomal RNA", at positions 1322 to 2925 of the family's 2925-position model. The record is from RNAcentral.
UGAGAAUCCUUACGGCCGAAUAUCCAAGGUUUCCAGGGUAAAGCUGAUCUGCCCUGGGGAAGUCGGGACCUAAGGCGAGGCCGAGAGGCGUAGCCGAUGGACAACAGGUUGAGAUUCCUGUACUACAGUAUGACAGAACUGUGGGGACGCAGAAGGAGAGCACUACCUGGAAUGGAAUCCAGGGGCAAGCACAGGAGGGGUACGGCUGGAAAAACCGCCGUGCAACCCAAAGGUGUGACGCAUACCGAACUAAAGUAGGGAAAUGUGUGAGCCGGCUGCCGAGAAAAGCCGCUAUUGUUUGUACUGUACCCGUACCGUAAACCGACACAGGUGGAUGAGGAGAGAAUCCUAAGGCCGACGGAAGAAGCAUUGCUAAGGAACUCGGCAAAAUGACCCUGUAACUUCGGGAGAAAGGGUGCCUCGAAAGAGGCCGCAGAGAAUAGGCCCAAGCAACUGUUUAGCAAAAACACAGGUCUAUGCAAAACCGCAAGGUGAAGUAUAUGGGCUGACGCCUGCCCGGUGCUGGAAGGUUAAGGGGAGAUGUCAGGAGACGAAGCAUCGAACUUAAGCCCCAGUAAACGGCGGCCGUAACGAUAACGGUCCUAAGGUAGCGAAAUUCCUUGUCGGGUAAGUUCCGACCCGCACGAAAGGCGUAAUGAUUUGGGCGCUGUCUCGGCAAUGCAUCCGGUGAAAUUGAAGUGCCAGUGAAGAUGCUGGCUACCCGCGCCAGGACGGAAAGACCCCAUGGAGCUUUACUCCAGCUUGAUACUGGGAUUCGGUAUUGUAUGUACAGGAUAGGUGGGAGGCUGAGAAAUGGUGACGCCAGUCGCCAUGGAGCCGCUGUUGGGAUACCACCCUUGCAGUACUGGACUUCUAACCAGCAGCCGUGAUCCGGCUGGGGGACAAUGUCAGGUGGGGAGUUUGACUGGGGCGGUCGCCUCCGAAAGGGUAUCGGAGGCGCUCAAAGGUUCCCUCAGAAUGGUCGGAAACCAUUCGAAGAGUGCAAAGGCAGAAGGGAGCUUGACUGCGACACCGACGGGUGGGGCAGGUACGAAAGUAGGACUUAGUGAUCCGGUGGUAUUAAGUGGGAAUGCCAUCGCUCAACGGAUAAAAGCUACCCUGGGAUAACAGGCUUAUCACUCCCAAGAGUUCACAUCGACGGAGUGGUUUGGCACCUCGAUGUCGGCUCAUCGCAUCCUGGGGCUGUAGUAGGUCCCAAGGGUUGGGCUGUUCGCCCAUUAAAGCGGUACGCGAGCUGGGUUCAGAACGUCGUGAGACAGUUCGGUCCCUAUCCGGCGUGGGCGUAGGAUAUUUGAGAGGAGCUGACCUUAGUACGAGAGGACCGGGUUGGACUGACCUCUGGUGCACCGGUUGUCAUGCCAAUGGCACAGCCGGGUAGCCAAGUCGGGAAGGGAUAAACGCUGAAGGCAUCUAAGCGUGAAGCCCCCCUCAAGAUGAGAUAUCCCCCGCAUAAGCGGUAAGACCCCUUGAAGACGACGAGGUAGAUAGGGCGGAGGUGGAAGUGCAAAUGUAUGGAGCUGACUGCUACUAAUAGGUCGAAGGCUUAACU